UGGGGAAUAUUGCGCAAUGGGGGAAACCCUGACGCAGCGACGCCGCGUGAGCGAAGAAGGCCUUAGGGUUGUAAAGCUCUGUUUUAGGGGACGAAUGUUCAUAGGAGUAAUAUGCCUGUGAAAUGACGGUACCCUAAGAGGAAGCCCCGGCUAACUACGUGCCAGCAGCCGCGGUAAGACGUAGGGGGCGAGCGUUGUCCGGAAUUACUGGGCGUAAAGAGCACGUAGGCGGGAACCUAAGUCAGGUGUGAAAGACCGUGGCUCAACCACGGGGUGGCAUUUGAAACUGGGUUUCUUGAGGGCAGGAGAGGAAAGCAGAAUUCCUGGUGUAGCGGUGAAAUGCGUAGAAAUCAGGAGGAAUACCAGUGGCGAAGGCGGCUUUCUGGACUGACCCUGACGCUGAGGUGCGAAAGCGUGGGUAGCAAACAGG
This 430-nucleotide ribosomal RNA is filed under the name uncultured prokaryote. RNAcentral describes it as "bacterial SSU rRNA". It matches the Rfam family "Bacterial small subunit ribosomal RNA", at positions 355 to 776 of the family's 1533-position model. The record is from RNAcentral. RNAcentral also lists the same sequence under 1 other name.